RNAcentral lists this ribosomal RNA (445 nucleotides) under uncultured bacterium. Its description in RNAcentral is "bacterial SSU rRNA". It matches the Rfam family "Bacterial small subunit ribosomal RNA", at positions 330 to 792 of the family's 1533-position model. The record is from RNAcentral.
GCCAGACUCCUACGGGAGGCAGCAGUGGGGAAUAUUGCACAAUGGGGGAAACCCUGAUGCAGCAACGCCGCGUGAGUGAAGAAGUCAUUCGUGAUGUAAAGCUCUAUCAGCCGGGAAGAAAAUGACGGUACUUGAGUAAGAAGCCCCGGCUAACUACGUGCCAGCAGCCGCGGUAAUACGUAGGGGGCAAGCGUUAUCCGGAUUUACUGGGCGUAAAGCGCUCGUAGGCGGUAUGUCAAGUCAAGGGUGAAAUCCCCGCGCUCAACGUGGGAACUGCCUUUGAAACUGGCAAACUGGAGUGUGUGAGAGGAUAGUGGAAUUCCAGGUGUAGGAGUGAAAUCCGUAGAUAUCUGGAGGAACAUCAGUGGCGAAGGCGACUAUCUGGCACAUAACUGACGCUGAGGAGCGAAAGCGUGGGUAGCAAACAGGAUUAGAUACCCUAGUA